CCUACGGGAGGCAGCAGUGGGGAAUAAUGGACAAUGGGGGCAACCCUGAUCCAGCCAUGCCGCGUGUGUGAAGAAGGCCCUCGGGUUGUAAAGCACUUUCAGUGAGGAAGAACGCCUGGUGGUUAAUACCCAUCAGGAAAGACAUCACUCACAGAAGAAGCACCGGCUAACUCCGUGCCAGCAGCCGCGGUAAUACGGAGGGUGCGAGCGUUAAUCGGAAUUACUGGGCGUAAAGCGCGCGUAGGUGGCUUGAUAAGCCGGUUGUGAAAGCCCCGGGCUCAACCUGGGAACGGCAUCCGGAACUGUCAAGCUAGAGUGCAGGAGAGGAAGGUAGAAUUCCCGGUGUAGCGGUGAAAUGCGUAGAGAUCGGGAGGAAUACCAGUGGCGAAGGCGGCCUUCUGGACUGACACUGACACUGAGGUGCGAAAGCGUGGGUAGCAAACAGGAUUAGAUACCCUAGUAGUC
Molecule: ribosomal RNA, 465 nt
Filed under: Vreelandella stevensii
Lineage: Bacteria; Pseudomonadati; Pseudomonadota; Gammaproteobacteria; Oceanospirillales; Halomonadaceae
Description: partial 16S ribosomal RNA
Rfam family: Bacterial small subunit ribosomal RNA
Source: RNAcentral